RNAcentral lists this ribosomal RNA (247 nucleotides) under uncultured bacterium. Its description in RNAcentral is "partial 16S ribosomal RNA". It matches the Rfam family "Bacterial small subunit ribosomal RNA", at positions 527 to 772 of the family's 1533-position model. The record is from RNAcentral.
GUAGGGGGCAAGCGUUAUCCGGAUUUACUGGGUGUAACGGGAGCGUAGGUGGCAUGGUAAGCCAGAAGUGAAAACCCAGGGCUCAACUCUGUGGAUUGCUUUUGGAACUAUCAAGCUAGAGUGCUGGAGGGGUAAGCGGAAUUCCUAGUGUAGCGGUGAAAUGCGUAGAUAUUAGGAGGAACACCGGUGGCGAAGGCGGCUUACUGGACAGAAACUGACACUGAGGCUCGAAAGCGUGGGGAGCAAA